This 229-nucleotide unclassified non-coding RNA is filed under the name rhizosphere metagenome. Its description in RNAcentral is "partial ribosomal RNA internal transcribed spacer region". The record is from RNAcentral.
GUAGGUGAACCUGCGGAAGGAUCAUUAGAAAGUCCGACGCCGAAAGGCGUCCCACCUUCCAAACCAUUGUGAAACUACCCGUUGCUUCGGCGGCGUUGGGGAGGCCCCUCCGGGCCAUCCCUCGUCAGUCCGCCAGAGGCUCCAACAUCAAAACCUUUUCCGUAACAGUAGUCUGAACAAACUAAGAUUUAAUUCGUUAAAACUUUCAACAACGGAUCUCUUGGUUCUC